RNAcentral lists this ribosomal RNA (234 nucleotides) under uncultured bacterium. RNAcentral describes it as "partial 16S ribosomal RNA". It matches the Rfam family "Bacterial small subunit ribosomal RNA", at positions 15 to 240 of the family's 1533-position model. The record is from RNAcentral.
GAUCCUGGUUCAGGAUGAACGCUAGCUACAGGCUUAACACAUGCAAGUCGCGGGGCAGCAUGAAGGAUGCUUGCAUUCUUUGAUGGCGACCGGCGCACGGGUGAGUAACGCGUAUCCAACCUGCCUGUUACCACGGCACAGCCCGUCGAAAGGCGGAUUAAUGCCGUAUGUGGUCCUUUGCGGGCAUCUAAUUAGGACUAAAGGUUUAGCGGUAGCAGAUGGGGAUGCGUCCGA